CAGGCAAUUCAGAAACAGGAAAUGAAGCAUUUAGAACAGCAGGGGUCCUCUCCCCCUGGUAAAUUUUAAAGCCCAGGUUCCCUGAGAUGCCAUUUCCUACAUUUUGACGGCAUUUUUGUGAAAGCAAAAGAAAGAUAACAUUUUCAAUUUCCCUGAGAAAGUGAGUGGAGUAUUGUUGCACUCCCAUUGAAACCCCCUAAAUUUGCGUUUCAGGGAAAGAAACAUGUCAAAAUGACAGAAUAACAUGAUCAACCCAUGAGCUUAAAAUUCUUUUGAUUCAGGUUCUGAGGUAUUCAAUUUUUGAAACUUGUAAAAUUUUUGUAACAUAGGUUUUGUCUGCUUUGUUUCAGCAAAGGCAGCUGCUUUUGUGUCAUCUGUUAGAAAUACAUUGACAGGUGGACAAUGAUGGCUCAAUUAAAGGUUUUCCUGGGGCAAAGAUGACUGAGGAAAACCUUUGGAAGCUGAAUGUGACAUAUUAGUUCCUGCUGCGAAUGAGAAACAGAUUACAAUUAAAAGUGCCCACAAAAUUAAAGCAAAGGUUAUUGCUGAAGGUGCAAAUGGGCCAACCACACCAGCGGCAGAAAAAGUUUUAAUUGAAAAUAAUAAACUUGUCAUUCCAGAUAUGUACUUGAACGCAGGAGGUGUGACUGUUUCCUGCCUCGAGUGGCUGAAGAACAUCAAUGAUGUCAGUUUUGGACGUCUGACUUGGAAAUACGAGAAGGAAGCAAACUUGAACUUUAAUCUUUUAGGUAUAAAGCGAUUUGUAUUCCAUGCUUGCUGAAACGUUAAAAUCUAUCGCAAAAUUAAAAUAAUUGGGUUUUUACUGGUUUUUCGAUAGCCACAAGAUCAGUUUAUAUAUAAUUUAGCCUUUUAAACCUGUUGUUGGUGACCUUCUCCUUUACAUGUAGCUGUUCUGUUUUGCGCUAAAACUGUUAGGGUGUGUAGGUGGCGCGGUGGCCUCAUGGUUAGUGUGCUC
Orbicella faveolata is the source of this 976-nucleotide long non-coding RNA. The record is from RefSeq and is a predicted model, not a curated record. NCBI's taxonomy places the organism in Eukaryota, Metazoa, Cnidaria, Anthozoa, Scleractinia, Merulinidae.